This is a small nuclear RNA of Brienomyrus brachyistius, 112 nucleotides long. RefSeq annotates it as U5 spliceosomal RNA. Lineage: Eukaryota; Metazoa; Chordata; Actinopteri; Osteoglossiformes; Mormyridae. The record is from RefSeq and is a predicted model, not a curated record. The transcript has a single exon.
ACUGCUGGUUUCUUUUCAUAUCGUGUAAAUCUUUCGCCUUUUACUAAAGAUUUCCGUGGAGAGGAACAAUCUGAGCGUCAAGUAAUUUUAAUGCCCUGCUUUGUAGUGGAGU